UACGUAGGUGGCAAGCGUUGUCCGGAUUUAUUGGGUUUAAAGGGUGCGUAGGCGGCCCUGUAAGUCAGUGCUGAAAUAUCCCGGCUUAACCGGGAGGGUGGCAUUGAUACUGCGGGGCUAGAGUACAGAUGAGGUAGGCGGAAUUGACGGUGUAGCGGUGAAAUGCUUAGAUAUCGUCAAGAACACCUAUAGCGAAGGCAGCUUACUAGGCUGGAACUGACGCUGAGGCACGAAAGUGUGGGGAUCAAACAGG
Molecule: ribosomal RNA, 253 nt
Filed under: uncultured bacterium
Lineage: Bacteria
Description: partial 16S ribosomal RNA
Rfam family: Bacterial small subunit ribosomal RNA
Source: RNAcentral